UCUAAUAUGGCAGAUUAGUGCAAUGAACUUAAGAUUCAUUAAUGAAGAUCUUCUUCUUUUAGAU
Molecule: transfer RNA, 64 nt
Filed under: Ciconiphilus decimfasciatus
Lineage: Eukaryota; Metazoa; Arthropoda; Insecta; Psocodea; Menoponidae
Description: tRNA-Leu
Source: RNAcentral